This 499-nucleotide ribosomal RNA is filed under the name uncultured Glomus. RNAcentral's name for it is "SSU rRNA". It matches the Rfam family "Eukaryotic small subunit ribosomal RNA", at positions 569 to 1074 of the family's 1831-position model. Lineage: Eukaryota; Fungi; Glomeromycota; Glomeromycetes; Glomerales; Glomeraceae. The record is from RNAcentral.
AGCAGCCGCGGUAAUUCCAGCUCCAAUAGCGUAUAUUAAAGUUGCUGCAGUUAAAAAGCUCGUAGUUGAAUUUCGGGAUCAAUAUGUUGGUCGUGCCUCGGUACGUACUAGCUUAUUGGUUUCUCCCUUCUGACGAACCAUGAUGUCAUUUAUUUGGUGUUAUGAGGAAUCAGGACUGUUACUUUGAAAAAUUAGAGUGUUUAAAGCAGGCUCACGCUUGAAUACAUUAGCAUGGAAUAAUGAAAUAGGACGUUUGAUUCUAUUUUGUUGGUUUCUAGGAUCGACGUAAUGAUUAAUAGGGAUAGUUGGGGGCAUUAGUAUUCAAUUGUCAGAGGUGAAAUUCUUGGAUUUAUUGAAGACUAACUACUGCGAAAGCAUUUGCCAAGGAUGUUUUCAUUAAUCAAGAACGAAAGUUAGGGGAUCGAAGACGAUCAGAUACCGUCGUAGUCUUAACCAUAAACUAUGCCGACUAGGGAUCGGAUGAUGUUAAUUUUAAUGA